Long non-coding RNA from Tribolium castaneum (red flour beetle), 1814 nucleotides. RefSeq lists it as uncharacterized. The transcript is spliced from 4 exons. The record is from RefSeq and is a predicted model, not a curated record. Lineage: Eukaryota; Metazoa; Arthropoda; Insecta; Coleoptera; Tenebrionidae.
UUAUGAAAUAACCUUUAUAUAAUUUGAAACUCAAUUUUAUGUUUGCAUAAAAAGCCGUUUUAAUAUUUGAUGAUGGUUUUGUCUCAGGUGUUAGAAACAUAAAACAAGAAUUUUGACAGAAAACAGAUUAGAUUUAGCGAGCUGGUGACGUUUCUUGAUAAAUUAUGAUAAAAUAACGCUCUUUGAAACUAGGCAAUUAAAAAAUGAAAGAUCUUUUUAAUUAGCUUCAAUCUAGUGUAUCGCUGGAACAUGAUUUAAUAAAACGUCUAUGAAUUGAAGAUAAUUAAGUGAGCUUUCAUCUUAUUGCCAUUCAACGUCGCCGCUGAAAUCGACGGUUUUUGCAAAAAUUCGAAAAUGUCACAGUCACGAAAUGCAAUAAAAAUCGGCUUCCAGGUUAAGACAACAAAAUUGAAGUUUUGUGAACUUUAGAACGUUCCUAAAUGUGCAAAAACGUGUUUUUUUUCGGUGGAAAAGUUCGGUUUGAAAAAAUUGAGGUGCGUAGUGUUCUAUAAUUUAACUCUGGUAACUGUAAUAACUCCGCGAAAGUUGUAGGAAAUUAUGUAACUUUCCAUUUUGUCUUAUUUUUACCUACGUGCCAGGACUCAUCUCGCUUCUGUGUGUUGCUCUCGAACAGGAUUAAAAAAGCGCAUGAUAUCCUGUCCAAUUAUGCAUGAUUGGACUAGAUUUGCGUCAGUUUAAUAUCAGCGCGCGCGAUAUUAUACGUAAAUUGAUAGUAACUGGUAGUGGAAGCAAGAUAUUGAUUAAAAUGGUUUUAAUAUGCAAACGGAGUCUUACUGCCAGAAAUAACUCGGCAAUCACAUCUCACUCUUCGUUUCCCGUCAAUCUCUUAUCCCAGUCGAGUCGAGCAAUUCACCUAUGACAUUUCAUUCGCACCAAUCAAAACUCUCUCGUUUUUAUUUAUCCAAUUAUUUGCGGAAUCUCAUCUCGCCGGAACAUGUUGCACAAAAGUUAACUUCGAUAAACCACCAGGUUGCACUAUCUGCAUUAAUUUAUUUGGAUUCAUAUUUCUGUCUUUUUGCGAGUUCUGGCAAUAAAAGUUUUGUGCAAAAUGUCGGAAUUAUCUGAUCUGUCAGUAAAAUACUGCAGUUGUGUUUCGAAAAGUUCGUUUUGACGAAGUUGGCGUUUCGAGUGUUUGCAUUAUGGAAUUUUAAGUAAUGGCAGUCUCAAACGGAAACUCACUUACUGUUUGCUCCUAUAAAGACGCGGCUAAAUCUCAAGUUUAAUUACAGUAUCUCUAUAGUUGGGUUAUAAACUCUUUAAUGUUGGCGCAAACGUACCAUUACGAAGGAAUCACAUCACACCGGUAUGCUCACGCUAAAUUUAAUUGAUCGGAUUUAGGGUUACUGCUGAUAAAGUGACAGCAACGAGCGGGGAUAAAUAUUUUAUUAUAAGUUAUUGCCCUGAUUCCAACUUUAAACCAAAAUUGGAUCGGUUUGUGUGCAAGUUGUUUAAUAAAACAUGCCAACGGACUAAUAAACUUGCCUGAUGAUACGACAACACUGGAAAUCUAUUUGAAAAUGUUGUGACAGUAUUUAAUUAUUAGCCAUUCCAGAAAUAAUGCAACCUGACAACGAAAUUUUCGAAAUAAUUUUAGUAUGUAAAAUUUCGUUCGUUUAUACUUGACAUGUUUUAUGACAAAAGAGCGUUUUUUGUUGUAGAUUUGAAUUGGGAGAGAAUAAUUGAAGUAAUUCAUGUGGUUCUAAAAUUUAGAUACAUUGCCUUGAAGGCGAUAAUAUAAAAUACAACUGUUAAAUAAUUUUUGAAGAAUGUUUUUCUAUUACUUAUUAUCAGUG